GUCUUCGUGGUGUAACGAUUAGCACACUUGGCGCGUAAUCGAGAGAUCCAGGUUCAAUUCCCGGUGACGGCA
RNAcentral lists this transfer RNA (72 nucleotides) under Stegodyphus mimosarum. It matches the Rfam family "tRNA". Rfam says of the family: Transfer RNA (tRNA) molecules are approximately 80 nucleotides in length. Their secondary structure includes four short double-helical elements and three loops (D, anti-codon, and T loops). Lineage: Eukaryota; Metazoa; Arthropoda; Arachnida; Araneae; Eresidae. The record is from Rfam by way of RNAcentral.